UAGGGAAUCUUCCGCAAUGGGCGAAAGCUUGACGGAGCAACGCCGCGUGAGUGAUGAAGGUCUUCGGAUCGUAAAACUCUGUUAUUAGGGAAGAACAAAUGUGUAAGUAACUAUGCACGUCUUGACGGUACCUAAUCAGAAAGCCACGGCUAACUACGUGCCAGCAGCCGCGGUAAUACGUAGGUGGCAAGCGUUAUCCGGAAUUAUUGGGCGUAAAGCGCGCGUAGGCGGUUUUUUAAGUCUGAUGUGAAAGCCCACGGCUCAACCGUGGAGGAUCAUUGGAAACUGGAAGACUUGAGUGCAGAAGAGGAAAGUGGAAUUCCAUGUGUAGCAGUGAAAUGCGCAGAGAUAUGGAGGAACACCAGUGGCGAAGGCGACUUUCUGGUCUGUAACUGACGCUGAUGUGCGAAAGCGUGGGGAUCAAACAGG
Molecule: ribosomal RNA, 429 nt
Filed under: Actinomycetes bacterium
Lineage: Bacteria; Bacillati; Actinomycetota; Actinomycetes
Description: Actinobacteria bacterium partial 16S ribosomal RNA
Rfam family: Bacterial small subunit ribosomal RNA
Source: RNAcentral